RNAcentral lists this ribosomal RNA (237 nucleotides) under Blastocystis sp. Its description in RNAcentral is "partial small subunit ribosomal RNA". It matches the Rfam family "Eukaryotic small subunit ribosomal RNA", at positions 22 to 276 of the family's 1831-position model. Lineage: Eukaryota; Bigyra; Opalinata; Blastocystidae. The record is from RNAcentral.
AGUCAUACGCUCGUCUCAAAGAUUAAGCCAUGCAUGUGUAAGUAUAAAUAGUUAACUUCGAAACUGCGAAUGGCUCAUUAUAUCAGUUAUAGUUUAUUUGAUGAAGAAUACUAAUUGGAUAACCGUAGUAAUUCUAGAGCUAAUACAUGUAUAAAGUCUUGUAGACUGCAUUUAUUAGAAAGAAAACCAUAGGUUUCGGCCUAUUGGUGAGUAAUAAUAAGUAAUCAUAUCGUGUGC